UCCCUGGUGGCUCAGACGGUAAAGUGUCUGCCUAUGAUGCAGGAGACCCGGGUUCGAUCCCUGGGUGGGGAA
Molecule: transfer RNA, 72 nt
Filed under: Ovis aries (sheep)
Lineage: Eukaryota; Metazoa; Chordata; Mammalia; Artiodactyla; Bovidae
Rfam family: tRNA
About the family: Transfer RNA (tRNA) molecules are approximately 80 nucleotides in length. Their secondary structure includes four short double-helical elements and three loops (D, anti-codon, and T loops).
Source: Rfam by way of RNAcentral